ACCCUAUAAGACGGUGUGGUUUGGGUGUGGUCUGUUAGGAGACUACUGAUUCAGAGUACUGAUUGUACUUGUUUGUCUUUAACUCCAUCAGCAAUUCAGCAUUCAUUUUGGAGUUCCUAUUGAAGCACAGAAACUAAUAUUUAAAGGAAAGACUCUUAGGAAAGAAGAGGAGUUAGUCAGUGAAGCAGGAAUAAAGAAUAAUAGCAAAAUAAUGCUAUUAGGAAGAAAGAUAUACUGAUCCAGCUCAAGACGAGUGUCUCAAGAAGCUGUUAGAUGUACUAGCUGACAGGAAGUCAAAAGGUAGUCUAACUGGUAUUGUGUUAGUUAAUAGAUGACCAUAACCAAAAUACUUCAAGUGUAUGAGUGGUUACGUUGUACAGGAUGAUGUCAUCAUGGGUACUCUCUCUGUCCGUGAGAACUUGUACUUCUUAGCUGCUCUGAGGCUACCGAACAGCAUGAAGUGGGCAGAGAAAAAGAGACGAGUAGAAAAAGUUAUUGGAGAGCUAGGACUAACUGGAUGUGCUGAUACUAAAAUGCUACUAUGAAGUUUUAAGAUCCAAGUUCAGGUUGGCACUGAAUUCAUUCAUGGUGUCAGUGGAGGAGAGAGGAGAGGACUAACAUUGGUAUGGAGCUGAUA
Molecule: long non-coding RNA, 637 nt
Organism: Amphimedon queenslandica
Lineage: Eukaryota; Metazoa; Porifera; Demospongiae; Haplosclerida; Niphatidae
Exons: 6
Source: RefSeq, a predicted model, not a curated record